RNAcentral lists this ribosomal RNA (433 nucleotides) under uncultured bacterium. RNAcentral describes it as "partial 16S ribosomal RNA". It matches the Rfam family "Bacterial small subunit ribosomal RNA", at positions 29 to 507 of the family's 1533-position model. The record is from RNAcentral.
AGCGAACGCUGGCGGCAGGCCUAACACAUGCAAGUCGAACGGAUCCUUCGGGAUUAGUGGCGGACGGGUGCGUAACACGUGGGAACGUGCCAUUUGGUUCGGAACAACUCAGGGAAACUUGAGCUAAUACCGGAUGUGCCCUCCGGGGGAAAGAUUUAUCGCCAUUGGAGCGGCCCGCGUCUGAUUAGCUAGUUGGUGAGGUAACGGCCCACCAAGGCGACGAUCAGUAGCUGGUCUGAGAGGAUGAUCAGCCACACUGGGACUGAGACACGGCCCAGACUCCUACGGGAGGCAGCAGUGGGGAAUCUUGCGCAAUGGGCGAAAGCCUGACGCAGCCAUGCCGCGUGAAUGAUGAAGGUCUUAGGAUUGUAAAAUUCUUUCAGCGGGGACGAUAAUGACGGUACCCGCAGAAGAAGCUCCGGCUAACUUCGUG